RNAcentral lists this ribosomal RNA (407 nucleotides) under uncultured bacterium. RNAcentral describes it as "partial 16S ribosomal RNA". It matches the Rfam family "Bacterial small subunit ribosomal RNA", at positions 28 to 526 of the family's 1533-position model. The record is from RNAcentral.
GACGAACGCUGGCGGCGUGCCUAAUACAUGCAAGUCGACCUUAGUGGCGGACGGGUGAGUAACACGUGGGAACCUACCCAUCAGAGGGGGAUAACGUCCGGAAACGGGCGCUAAUACCGCAUACUAUCAGAUGAGCCUAGGUCGGAUUAGCUAGUUGGUGGGGUAAAGGCCUACCAAGGCGACGAUCCGUAACUGGUCUGAGAGGAUGAUCAGUCACACUGGAACUGAGACACGGUCCAGACUCCUACGGGAGGCAGCAGUGGGGAAUAUUGGACAAUGGGCGAAAGUCUGACGGAGCAACGCCGCGUGAGUGAUGACGGCCUUCGGGUUGUAAAGCUCUGUUAAUCGGGACGCGGUACCGGAAUAGAAAGCCACGGCUAACUACGUGCCAGCAGCCGCGGUAAUAC